GCUAUAGACAGAGAGGGGGUAAAAGAUUAAAAAUACCAACAACAACAAGUGACGGAGAGCAGCUGAGGACAGACAGGAAGUAAAUAAUAGAGAGAUAGUCGUAGGAAGAUCAGAAAAGAGAGAAAGGCUGAGAUUGAAGCUCUGCGGCUGCAGGUGGAGGUCUGUCACCUCUGAACUUCUGAAGGGAGGCACGCUGAGGCUGAGAAUUAAGACUCUGACAGAGACCAAGAGGACGGCCAUGUUUUCAGCCAGACCAGAGAUCCAGCCGUAAAAGACAA
Long non-coding RNA from Thunnus maccoyii (southern bluefin tuna), 278 nucleotides. RefSeq lists it as uncharacterized. The transcript is spliced from 3 exons. The record is from RefSeq and is a predicted model, not a curated record. Lineage: Eukaryota; Metazoa; Chordata; Actinopteri; Scombriformes; Scombridae.